RNAcentral lists this small RNA (546 nucleotides) under Candida dubliniensis. Its description in RNAcentral is "eukaryotic LSU rRNA". The stretch from base 170 to 323 matches the Rfam family "5.8S ribosomal RNA". The record is from RNAcentral. Lineage: Eukaryota; Fungi; Ascomycota; Pichiomycetes; Serinales; Debaryomycetaceae.
UCCGUAGGUGAACCUGCGGAAGGAUCAUUACUGAUUUGCUUAAUUGCACCACAUGUGUUUUGUUCUGGACAAACUUGCUUUGGCGGUGGGCCCCUGCCUGCCGCCAGAGGACAUAAACUUACAACCAAAUUUUUUAUAAACUUGUCACGAGAUUAUUUUUAAUAGUCAAAACUUUCAACAACGGAUCUCUUGGUUCUCGCAUCGAUGAAGAACGCAGCGAAAUGCGAUACGUAAUAUGAAUUGCAGAUAUUCGUGAAUCAUCGAAUCUUUGAACGCACAUUGCGCCCUCUGGUAUUCCGGAGGGCAUGCCUGUUUGAGCGUCGUUUCUCCCUCAAACCCCUAGGGUUUGGUGUUGAGCAAUACGACUUGGGUUUGCUUGAAAGAUGAUAGUGGUAUAAGGCGGAGAUGCUUGACAAUGGCUUAGGUGUAACCAAAAACAUUGCUAAGGCGGUCUCUGGCGUCGCCCAUUUUAUUCUUCAAACUUUGACCUCAAAUCAGGUAGGACUACCCGCUGAACUUAAGCAUAUCAAUAAGCGGAGGAAAAGA